This 354-nucleotide ribosomal RNA is filed under the name Candona sp. 1 IK-2020. RNAcentral describes it as "partial large subunit ribosomal RNA". It matches the Rfam family "Archaeal large subunit ribosomal RNA", at positions 2021 to 2610 of the family's 2987-position model. The record is from RNAcentral. Lineage: Eukaryota; Metazoa; Arthropoda; Ostracoda; Podocopida; Candonidae.
GACUGUGCUAAGGUAGCAUAAUAAUUUGCCUUUUAAUUAGGGGCUGGAAUGAAAGGUUCUAUGGAAAAUAGCUGUUUUAAAAGAGAAGAUUGAAUUUAAGUUCUCUAUAAAAACUUGGAGAAGUACUCAAGGGACGAGAAGCCCCUGUGGAUUUUUAUUUAUUAGAAAAUAAUUUUUAUAAUAUUUUAUUUUUUAUAUAAAUUUGGUUGGGACGACAGUAAAGUUAACUUUUUUUUAAAAUAUAAUUAGACCCUUAUUAAGGAAUAAAGAAUAAAUUACCCCAGGGAUAACAGCGUAAUACUUUUGGACAGGACAAAUGGAUAAAAGUGUUUGCGACCUCGAUGUUGAAUUAAA